CAUUCAUAUGCCCCAGAGUUCCAUUCCGUCUUCUUCCAGGUCGGGCGCGGCAUGUGGGACCUAAGCUCUGGAGCGCGGAUACCCAGACCUUUGCAGGUGGGCAUCUUCCUCAUCUUCGUGCUCUCCCUCACCUGGCCAGGGUGGUAUAGGGAUAUGCCCUUCAUUGGCGCCCUGGAGUCGGGGAGGUUUGAAGUCCUACCCUCUUACUAUCUGCACCUGGGAAAAGGUAUUAACUCGUCACCAGCAAUCCCCACUACACCUCCAAGGGUGAUUGAGAUGAGCCUGGAGCGCAGUUUGGCAGAAUGUCCCAGGCCAGAAAUGACAGGGACUACAACCGGAGUCAGGGUGAAGACAUCUAGAGGUGCAGAGGGGAAAAAAAGAACACCCUUUGCCCUGGACACAGGUUGCUAAAGGCUGUCCUUGGGAGCCUCGGAGUGGGAAACCUCCGACCUCAGCUGGAACUCCAAGUUCCCAGUCCCCUUACCCCUUCAGGUGCCAGUUUGACAGGUACAAACCACGCCCAGACACGAAGAAGGCAGCUCAGGGAACUUGUGGCAACAGGGAUUUAAUAGGCGAAUCCUCUCACAACACACAGGAUGUUGUGGAACUUCAAUCCGUUUGUAAACUUUCUCUUCCCACUUUCGCUGCAGGAAUCCCCUGCUGACCUCCAUCCUCCCACCCCACUGCUAUGUAUGAGUUCAUCUUCCAUAACUGCUGCUCAGCCAGUUUGGAUUAUUUUCCCAAUUAACAAGGAGAACUUCCUAGUGAAAGGUAUAGACGUGACUACAAAAAGAAGCGUAUGACUCUUUUGCAAGACUGUCCCACCAUCAAUAAUAAAAACACUAUGUUAUUAUUUUAGAUUCUAGACUAGAUUCAGCACCUUCUUCCCUAUUAAAAUAUAUAUUAUCCAUCCUGUUGGAAUUGAAGCAAGUUUUCUAAACUUCUGCUCUCCAUAGUAACACAAGUCCUUUCUAAAAUGUGAAUCUAAUCUUUCCACUCCCAGAAACUUAAAACCCUUCCAAAGUCUCUAGGUCACAUAUAAUGUGCUUCAUGAUCUAGCUUUUCAUUCCAGCCCUUUCUAGAUAUCAUCACCUUGCCUUGCACUUUCCCCCACCACACACAUACCUCACACCUUACAUGACUAAGGUAUUUGCCCAAGAGAAACAGGAAAUGUGUUCAUUCUCAUCCCCCUUCUCUCCCCCGCCCCAACACAUAUACACGCAUGAUAAAAGAUUUACUUUAAAGAAUUGCUUCACAUGAUUAUGGAUGCUGGCAGGUCACUCUCAAAUCUGUAGGGCAGUUCUGGCAGACUGGAAGGAAACUCAGGCAAGAGUGGAUGCUUCUGACUAGAGCAGAAUUUCCACUUUUCUAGAAAGUCUACCUUUUACUCCUAAGUGAGGCCCACCUGCAUUAUCUAGACUAAUCCUCUUUCCUUAAAAUCAACUGGUUGUAAAUAUUAGCUACAUCUGCAAAAUAUCUUCACAGCAACACUUACAUCUUCAUUAGAGUUUGACUAAAUGACUGGGUAUUAGAGCCUAGCCAAACUGACAUAAAAUUAACCAUCUCCAGUAUUAUUAUCCUUCAGAUUCUCCAUGCUAUCAGAAGUUGUCCAAGAACCCUGGAAAAUGAGGUGUCUUACCAACUAUUUCCCAAUUCACCCUUUUUUUGGUUUUGUUUUGGUACCAGGGAUUGAACCCAGAGGCACUGAACCUCUGAGCCAUAUCCUCUUUUUAUUUUUUAUCUUUUCAUGUUGAGAUAGUCUUGUUCAGUGGCUUAGGGCCUCACUAAGUUGCAGAGCUGGCUUUGAACUUGCCAUCUUCCUGCCUCAACUUGUACUUCUAUCUUUGCGCUGUCACAGCGUGUUGUGCUUUGUUAAACUAGAUUGUAAGUUCAUAAACCACAAUUCUCUGUUCAUUAUGAUCUAUAUAACUAGUGACUGAUGCUAAAUAAGUGUACAGUAAACAUCCAAAUGAAAGUAUGAUCACUAGUAAAAAGCUGACAUUAUCAUUCAUCUGGUCUUCCUCCAAGAUUUGGAACCAGGAUAACACACACACACACACACACACACACACACACUUUGAUCCCUUGUCAAUGGUCUACCAUUUACUACAGUGGGAGCUUGAUGAACAGUUUAAAGAUGCCUGCUUGUUAUUUAUGUAGGUCUGUAUAGUGCUUCCAUUUUUCCAUACUCACAGCAUGUAGGUCUCACCCCCAAUCUCAACUGCUGAGUUUUCACUUUCCCUAUGACUUCAUAUGUAAGAGUUGUCUUCCUUCAUGCAUCACAUGCAUGUAGGAUGCUUGAAGUGGGGGUGGGUGUGAAUGAGAGGUUUACAUGGAAAAGAAGGGAAGGGAAGAACAAGGGAAGGGGAGGGAGACUCCAAACUGUAACAGCAGGAAUCACUCCAACAAGCCAGAAAGCAAAGGUGCAGCCUCAAAAAUAAUUUGAAAAACCAAGAAACCAACCAAUCACACUGACUCCAGUCUGCUUUCCAUUGCAACCCCAUAAAGUCCCCAUCCUUCAGUACUCCUGCUCAUUUAAGAUCCCUCUUGUGCCAAUACAUUCUUACAGUGUUGAAUUAAGAGGAAAAAAGGAAGUAGACUACUUUGUCUAUCACUGAAACUGGAGCAACAGGGAAGUGGGAUGGAUUAUCUUGUUUAAAUUUAUGCCUGCAAUGCAUACAAAUCCCAUCAAAAGUUCAAUAGAAAGGGUAGAUGGAUUCUAUUUCUUCCAUGUUGCAGGAUUACUGAAUAUCCCUUGACUUCAUUUUAAUAGAUAAGAAAAUCUGAAAUAUAUAAUAAAGAGCUUUAGCUCCCCAAAGUCUAUACUGCCCUUAUUCUAGUGCUUUCAGAUCCAAUUAAGUACUGUGAGAUCAAGAAAAACUCAUUUUUAUGUUUAUUUUGCUUUUUGACCUUGGCCUAUUCAAAAUGCCAUAAUGAAAAAAAUAAAAGUAAAAAAUAAGUAUACCACUUUUUUUUUCAUAUUCCCAUACAUAUCUGGGACUUUGGAGUCAAAGAUUUCUAUGGGUGACCUAUCUCCACCACUUCUGAACCAUGUGCAUUAGAGGAAGUCACUUUAUCUUUCUGACCAUCUGAUUCCUACCCUAUUAAAUAAGGAUAACUCACUGAAUUCACAAAGGCUAUUGCAAAGAUCAUAGUGAGGCAAUCAUGUAUUUUUCAGUUUCAUAUUACUACACUGAAAUGUUAGGGAAAAUUAACUUAUGAAGAGGAAAGUUUUAUUUUGGUUUGUAAUUCUGGGGGUUCAUCCAAAAUCAUGUGGCCCCGUUCUUCAGGCCUCUAGGAAGGGUAACACAUCAUGGAGGGAGCAUGUGACAGAGAUACUGCUUAUAUCGUGAGCCAGGAAGAAAACAAGAACAAUGGGAUGUGCCAGGAUUUCACAGUGUCUUUUCUCUGGGAGGGAGGACACACUUCCAAUGAUCUAAGGAGUUACCCAAAGACCCUCACCUCUUAAAAGUGCACAGCACUUCCAAAUACUGCCACCCUGAGGAACAAAUCUUUUAUGCACAGGCUUUUGGGAAACAGUCAAUAUCUGAUCUAUGGCAGCAUUUAUGUAUUCAAUAUUAUUGAUUCCCAAAGGAUUUUUAUUCUCUCCUUUGCCUGUCAUAACCCCAUAAAUCAGAGAGUUCCUGAACAAGUAAGACCACCAAGAAAUUCCAAUUCUGUAAUGAAUUUUGCAAUUCAUUUCAUCUUCUAGGUAACAUCAUCGCACAGAUAAAAGAAAAGAAAGAAUAAAUCACCUCCAUCCAAAAAAUAUUUACUGAGUGACUACUGCAUACAGGAGAACUAUGGUUAAAGUAAGGGCAUUGCCUUCAGAAACUGUGUGACCUAGAUAGAGUAGGUACUGGACAAGUAUAAAAUUCAAAUUCUGAUUAAGUGACCUAAAAAGUUACCAGGUACUAUGAGAGUACUUGGUAUUAGAAAUUCAGAGAAAACCUGUCUAAAGAAGUGACACUGAAGUUGGUCCCUGAAAAUGCACAUACUGUUGAGCAUUAAGCAUAAGAAGCAUAAUGUAUGCAAAGAGGCUUCUCAACAACAAGCCUGUAAAAAGACUGUAGCACAAAGCAGCUGGGAGAAUCUGGAGAGCUCAGAAAGCAAGGAUUGCUGGUGGACAGUGAUCAAGCCAGAGACAUAGGGAGAGACCUGGUCUUACAGCUUCUGGAUUUUAAUGAAUGGGAUAUUGAUGAAUAUUCAUCACCAAGAAAUCUCAUCAGACAUUUUUUUUUAAGAAUUCUUCUGCUUGCUAUAUGGAGAACAGAAAGAAGGGAAACAAAAAUAUAGGGGAACAAAAAGUGUAAGCAUAUGAAUUUAGACAUUAUUACUCAGGUCUAGAUGAGAGAAUCAUGGUGAUUUGGGUGGUGGUAUCAAAGACACAGAGUUGGAAGGAGAUCAGUAGGACUUUGUGAUCCGUGGGGCAUGGGGAGUGGGCAUGAUGGAGAGGGGUCAUUUUCUUAGAAGUUCUACUCGACUGCAAACUCAGUCAAAGAGGACAAUAUUGGUAGCACUUUGGUGAGAUGCCUGUAUGACAUGGCCUCUUCCAAGCACCUACCUUCUGCUUUCAUGGCUGUUGGUUUUCUUGUGAGACUCAUCCCUGAUUGUAGGUAGAGUAUGCAUGCUAGGUUUCAGCCAAUACAGUCAUGAUUCCCCAGCCUCUUGACUGGUUCAAGUAUGGGCCUGUGACCUACUCAGCCAAAGGGACUUGUGCCACCCACCAUUGGAGACUUCUGUUCUCAUCCAAUGACUUUGAAUAUGAAUGAUCUGAAUGUCUUAGAGGCUUCCAUUUGAACAGGAAAGGAGAAGACACUUGAGAAUGGAGCCAGCACAGAGCAAAUCAAAACAAGAUCACCAAGUGCAGGUGACAGCAUCUAAUCAGACACCUAUAUCAUGCCACACCUUGAGAUACACACAUUUUAUUUUUAUAUAAGCCAGUUUGGGUUGAGAUUUCUGACACUUGAAAUCAAGAGCCCUAAUUCAAAUACUGCAAUGCAAGGAAGAAGAGGAAAUGAAAAUAAUUUAGUUUUGUGAAGGUCUUUAAAUUUGAGUCUCAACGAGUCAUUGAUUCCUGCCAACUAACAUUCAUGCUCUUGUGCUAUCCCCUCUCCUUGCAUUUGGACUAUAUAUACUGACUUAAUUCUUUUUAAAUUUUUAAAUUUGUUCUGAUUACUUACACAUGACAGUAGAAUGCAUUUUGACACAUUAUACAAAAAUGGAGUAUACUUCUCAUUCUUCUGGCUGUACAUGAUAUAGAGUUACACAGGUCAUGUAAUCAUAUAUGCACAUAGGGUAAUAAUGUCCAAUUCAUUCUCCUAUCAUUCCCACCCUCAUACCCCCUACCCUCCCUUCACUCCCCUCUGUCUAAUCCAAAGUACCUCUAUUCUCCUCCACCCUUAUUGUGAAUUAACAUCUGCAUAUCAGAGAAAAUAUUCGGCCUUUGGUUCUUUGGUAUUGGCUUAUUUCACUUAGCAUAACAUUCUCUAGUUCCAUCCAUUUACUGGCCAAUUCCAUCUUCUUUAAGGCUGAGCAAUAUUUCAUUGUGUAUAUAAACCACAUUUUCUUUAUCCAUUCAUGUGUUGAAGGGCACCUAGAUUGGUUCCAGAGUUUAGCUAUUAACAUUGAUGUGGCUGCAUCACUGGAGUAUGCUGAUUUUAAGUCCUUUGAGUAUAAACCUAAGAGUGGGAUAACUGUGUCAAAUGGUGGUUCCAUUCCAAGUUUUCUGAGGAAUAUCCAUGUACUGCUUUCCAUAGUGAUUCUACCAAUUUGCAGUUGAUAUAUACUGGAAAUAAUUAUAUUGACUUAAUUCUAAUAAAUAGAAUUUGGCAUAAAGAAUGCACCUUCCAAGAUUAGGAUAUAAAAAGACUGUGGCUUCCCUUUUGUGUGCUCUCUUUUAGCCCUCUCCUGGCUCGAAUAUGGUUGCCUUAUUGAAAGAUAACCCUGUGGAAUGCCCUGCAUGAAUAAGCCUGGGAGGAGAUCUCCUGAAGUCUUCCUGAACUUCAAAGCAGAUCCUUCCUCAGUCAAGCCUUGAAAUGUCUAUUGCCCCACUCAAUACCUUUGGUAGAAUCUCUUGAGAGACCUUCAGCCAGCGUCACCCAAAUAAAGUGCAGAUUCAUAAGCCUCAAAA
RNAcentral lists this long non-coding RNA (6133 nucleotides) under Marmota monax (woodchuck). The record is from RNAcentral. Lineage: Eukaryota; Metazoa; Chordata; Mammalia; Rodentia; Sciuridae.